RNAcentral lists this transfer RNA (69 nucleotides) under Saurodactylus brosseti. RNAcentral's name for it is "tRNA-Ala". It matches the Rfam family "tRNA". From Rfam's summary of the family: Transfer RNA (tRNA) molecules are approximately 80 nucleotides in length. Their secondary structure includes four short double-helical elements and three loops (D, anti-codon, and T loops). Lineage: Eukaryota; Metazoa; Chordata; Lepidosauria; Squamata; Sphaerodactylidae. The record is from RNAcentral.
GAGGCCUUANCUUAAUUAAAGUGUCUGGGUUGCAUUCAGGUGAUGUAGAUUAAAAUUUUACAGGUCUGA